CUGGACAACAAACUGGACGUCACUUUGGAAUUCGAUUUCAGUGAACCAUUUAAAACAGCGAUUCUCUCAGUGCUGAUAGUUUUGGCUCUAGUGUUGGUGUUUGGGACUGGAGUCAUCAUAUAUAAAUGGAGGAAGAGACGAGCAGAUUCACCCAGAAGUGGUUAUUCUGCUGCUUCUAGUAAG
Sinocyclocheilus anshuiensis is the source of this 183-nucleotide long non-coding RNA. RefSeq lists it as uncharacterized. The record is from RefSeq and is a predicted model, not a curated record. NCBI's taxonomy places the organism in Eukaryota, Metazoa, Chordata, Actinopteri, Cypriniformes, Cyprinidae. The transcript is spliced from 3 exons.